CAAAAGAUAGUUUAAUUAAAACACUGGUUUUGGGGACCAGAGAUGGGUUUUCUUCUUUUGA
Molecule: transfer RNA, 61 nt
Filed under: Pseudagkistrodon rudis (Red keelback)
Lineage: Eukaryota; Metazoa; Chordata; Lepidosauria; Squamata; Natricidae
Description: tRNA-Pro
Source: RNAcentral